Long non-coding RNA from Lingula anatina, 370 nucleotides. Lineage: Eukaryota; Metazoa; Brachiopoda; Lingulata; Lingulida; Lingulidae. The record is from RefSeq and is a predicted model, not a curated record.
CAUUUAUAGUUAACAUAUGACCUCUAGGGAAUUCUUUCAGGCCUUUCGAGACUUAGUUUGUCAGAUAUUGAAAUUUUGAGCAACGAAGGUUACUCGGUGACAAUCCAUUUAGUAAUGUGCCAGGGUUCAUAUUUCGAAACCUCACGAACUUGACCCUGCUGUACAUGCAGUCCAACACUACCAUUCAGAGAAUCGAAGAGUUUGCUUUUGAAGGAUUAUUCAAAUUGAUAUCUUUGUCAAUUAAAUCCAAUGUAGAAAAUAUCUAUCGUAACACAUUUGUGGGUCUGAGGUCUCUGACUAAUUUGACAUUGGGUACUGUCCAAUAUAUUGCUCCUGAUGCCUUCAUCAACACACCAAGAUUGUCAAGUCU